RNAcentral lists this long non-coding RNA (299 nucleotides) under Linum usitatissimum (flax). RNAcentral describes it as "long non-coding RNA (LUSI_LNC000927)". The record is from RNAcentral. Lineage: Eukaryota; Viridiplantae; Streptophyta; Magnoliopsida; Malpighiales; Linaceae.
GUGCUUCCAACAGGAUGAGAGUAGCAAUGUCCCGCUAGUAAAAGCGUCUGCCCAUGUUUCAGAGUGCAAUCAAAAAUAUCAUGAGCCACAAAACUAGGAAGUUUUUACGUGUCAAAAUACUGAUUAGAAUGAGUAGAAGCAAGACCUGCCUCAUUUUGGAUGUCACUAUAGCGUUGCUUUAUUCCCAGUAGCCAUUUAAGCACUAGCUCCACUCCUUUCGCAUGUAAUGCUCUGCUUUUUUUGUUCCACUGCAAAGAGGUGGUAGGAUUGUCAACACACUAUAGAGCACUGCAUACUGU